CCAUGUGCCACCUCACCAGCAUGAGAUAAAUGACCAGUCCAGAAGAGCUGAAAUAAAAUCCCUCUGGAGGGUGUGCUCUGCUUUCUGUCAGCCUCUCCAGGAGCCCUUCCCCAGGGCAUUCCAGGUGAACACAAGGAUCUUGGUUUGUAUUGCUGUUUAAUUGCUCACCUAUAGCAGCAGCAUUCUAAGACAUGAGCCCUCAGCAAAUCCAGCAUGUGUGUCUGGCCCUGCCCUGACUAUUCAAACACGCAGCCACAUCAGUGCUGCUCGUUUGGAAGGCGAUGACAAGGGUCAUCAUUUUAUUCUUUAUCUCCCGUUUCACCUGCUCCUGAAUGCCAGAGCAAGGCAGGAAACAGCAUCCUGGGGAGCUCGGGGGUGUGGAUGACAACCCUGCCAUGCCUGGCUGUUCAUCAGGGUGUCACAGGAGGAUGAGGAGCAGCGGGAGGCAGAGCUGAGCAUCCGUGCCCGCAGCCCUGGUGGGAGGGAGAUGAUGGUGCCAGCCCUGCCAGCCACGUGCGGAGAAGCCAAAGGGCAGAAUCGCCGUGCCAGGGCUGUGUUUUUGGGAAAAAGAUUUUGUUCGGCCGCUUUCCACUCACGCGGCAUUUACGUGCCUAAAAGGAUUCGGCUGUCACAGCUGACAAGCGCUGGAAAGCUCUUGUUCAGGUCAGUGCUAUCAGAGAAAUGUCUCUCCUACAACAUCCCAGUGCAGCAGGGCCACUGGCACUGGGAGACAGGGACUGGUGUCAAGGCACUGUGCUGCAGACAGGAUGGUGACCUGCUGUCCCAGCUCCUCCCGAGGAGAGCCGUGCGACUCUGCUCCAGAUAAGUGCAAAAAAACCCCAGCUCUAAACAUCUCUGACCUUUAAAUUCAGGCUGCAGCGAACAGAACUGUUGCUAACCAAAAACCCAGGCUUGCUUUCAUGUGUCUGAACGUUCAGGGAAUAGAUGUAGCUUAACAUGCAAAUGCUGGGCUUCCUGCAGCACGCCGCUGCUUUUCAAGCUCUCUCAUUUCAUGCUGUUACCUCCAUCCCUGCUGUGCCUGUGAAAAGAGCCUCUCUGAGGAAAAGUUUCCCACAGACACAAAAUCCGAGUGAUGUGGUAUAAAAAACCCAACGAGCAG
This 1120-nucleotide long non-coding RNA is filed under the name Cyanistes caeruleus (blue tit). Its description in RNAcentral is "lncRNA (ENSCCEG00000020621.1)". The record is from RNAcentral. Lineage: Eukaryota; Metazoa; Chordata; Aves; Passeriformes; Paridae.